GGAGAGGUGGCCGAGUGGUUAAUGGCAGCAGACUGUAAAUCUGCCCUCUUACGAGUACGCUGGUCCGAAUCUAGUCCUCUCCACCA
This 86-nucleotide transfer RNA is filed under the name Candidatus Aalborgicola bjergmarkensis. RNAcentral describes it as "tRNA-Tyr". It matches the Rfam family "tRNA". Rfam says of the family: Transfer RNA (tRNA) molecules are approximately 80 nucleotides in length. Their secondary structure includes four short double-helical elements and three loops (D, anti-codon, and T loops). Further hydrogen bonds mediate the characteristic L-shaped molecular structure. tRNAs have two regions of fundamental functional importance: the anti-codon, which is responsible for specific mRNA codon recognition, and the 3' end, to which the tRNAs corresponding amino acid is attached (by aminoacyl-tRNA synthetases). tRNAs cope with the degeneracy of the genetic code in two manners: having more than one tRNA (with a specific anti-codon) for a particular amino acid; and 'wobble' base-pairing, i.e. permitting non-standard base-pairing at the 3rd anti-codon position. The record is from RNAcentral. Lineage: Bacteria; Pseudomonadati; Pseudomonadota; Betaproteobacteria; Burkholderiales; Comamonadaceae.